Molecule: ribosomal RNA, 497 nt
Filed under: uncultured bacterium
Lineage: Bacteria
Description: partial 16S ribosomal RNA
Rfam family: Bacterial small subunit ribosomal RNA
Source: RNAcentral
GAUGAACGCUGGCGGCGUGCCUAAUACAUGCAAGUCGAGCGAACAGAUGAGGAGCUUGCUCCUCUGACGUUAGCGGCGGACGGGUGAGUAACACGUGGAUAACCUACCUAUAAGACUGGGAUAACUUCGGGAAACCGGAGCUAAUACCGGAUAAUAUAUUGAACCGCAUGGUUCAAUAGUGAAAGACGGUCUUGCUGUCACUUAUAGAUGGAUCCGCGCCGCAUUAGCUAGUUGGUAAGGUAACGGCUUACCAAGGCAACGAUGCAUAGCCGACCUGAGAGGGUGAACGGCCCCACUGGAACUGGGACAAGGUCCAGGCUCCUACGGGAGGGAGCAGUAAGGAAUCUUCCGCAAUGGGCGGAAGCCUUACGGAGCAACCGCGGGGGGGUGGUGAAAGUCUUCGGAUCGGAAAACUCUUUUAUUAGGGAAAAACAAAAUUGUAAGUAACUACGCACGUCUUGACGGUACCUAAUCAGGAAGCCACGGCUAACUACGUG